AGUGAACGCUGGCGGUAGGCCUAACACAUGCAAGUCGAACGGCAGCACAGGAGAGCUUGCUCUCUGGGUGGCGAGUGGCGGACGGGUGAGGAAUACAUCGGGAUCUACUCUGUCGUGGGGGAUAACGUAGGGAAACUUACGCUAAUACCGCAUACGACCUACGGGUGAAAGCAGGGGAUCUUCCGAACUUGCGCGAUUGACUGAGCCUCUGUCGGAUUAGCUAGUUGGCGGGGUAAAGGCCCACCAAGGCGACGAUCCGUAGCUGGUCUGAGAGGAUGAUCAGCCACACUGUAACUGAGACACGGUCCAGACUCCUACGGGAGGCAGCAGUGGGGAAUAUUGGACAAUGGGCGCAAGCCUGAUCCAGCCAUACCGCGUGGGUGAAGAAGGCCUUCGGGUUGUAAAGCCCUUUUGUUGGGAAAGAAAUCCAGCUGGCUAAUACCCGGUUGGGAUGACGGUACCCAAAGAAUAAGCACCGGCUAACUUCGUGCCAGCCGCCGCCGUAA
Molecule: ribosomal RNA, 506 nt
Filed under: uncultured bacterium
Lineage: Bacteria
Description: partial 16S ribosomal RNA
Rfam family: Bacterial small subunit ribosomal RNA
Source: RNAcentral